GAUGAACGCUGGCGGCGUGCCUAAUACAUGCAAGUCGAGCGAACAGACGAGGAGCUUGCUCCUCUGACGUUAGCGGCGGACGGGUGAGUAACACGUGGAUAACCUACCUAUAAGACUGGGAUAACUUCGGGAAACCGGAGCUAAUACCGGAUAAUAUAUUGAACCGCAUGGUUCAAUAGUGAAAGACGGUUUUGCUGUCACUUAUAGAUGGAUCCGCGCCGCAUUAGCUAGUUGGUAAGGUAACGGCUUACCAAGGCAACGAUGCGUAGCCGACCUGAGAGGGUGAUCGCCCACCCUGGAACUGAGACACGGUCCAGACUCCUACGGGAGGCCGCAGUAGGGAAUCUUCCGCAAUGGGCGAAAGCUUGACGGAGCAACGCCGCGUGAGUGAUGAAGGUCUUCGGAUCGUAAAACUCUGUUAUUAGGGAAGAACAAAUGUGUAAGUAACUAUGCACGUCUUGACGGUACCUAAUCAGAAAGCCACGGCUAACUACGUG
This 497-nucleotide ribosomal RNA is filed under the name uncultured bacterium. Its description in RNAcentral is "partial 16S ribosomal RNA". It matches the Rfam family "Bacterial small subunit ribosomal RNA", at positions 28 to 507 of the family's 1533-position model. The record is from RNAcentral.